RNA transcript from Triticum aestivum (bread wheat), 1788 nucleotides. RefSeq lists it as uncharacterized. The record is from RefSeq and is a predicted model, not a curated record. NCBI's taxonomy places the organism in Eukaryota, Viridiplantae, Streptophyta, Magnoliopsida, Poales, Poaceae. The transcript has 4 exons.
UGCCCUCCCACCUGCCCACUCCCAUCCACUUGCUGCCCACUCUCACCCACACCCUCUCAUUCCCCUCCCUCGUCGCCUCUCCGCAUCGUCGCCGGCCACCGCAGCCCGUCGCGUUCUCACUCCGGCAGCCCACCGUGUUCUUCCUCCUGCAGCCCAGCGCUUGCUUCCUCUCCUUCCUUUCCCACCGCUUGCUUCCUCUCCUCCCUUUCCCAUCCCGAGGUCAAAAGAGUGGUUUUUUAUGCGCCGGUGAAGAGCUUCUGGGCGGCGGAGCUGGUGUGGGCGCCGACGCCGGAUCCGCGUGCGCGUACGCUGGAUCUGGGCGACGGAGCGGCCUGGACAGAGUGGAGCGGCGACGGAGUGGAGCAGCGGAGUGGCCCCCGGGAAGGAUGCAUGGCCGGUUGCGGGCACCCUAGGUGGGGCUGCGCUUCUAUGCGGCGACCUCAUCGAGACCAAGAAGCCGGUGUUGGUGAUGCUGCUGCACAUCGAUGACCUCCUCCCUCUCAUGCGUGCCCGUCGUCGUGCGCCGUGACAGGGAGAGGAGGACGACCCCAGCCAUGGAGUAGCAACAACUCAAGUUUAAGGUCAAAGUGAUGGUCAUGGGUGAAAUUAGGGACGAUGCCCAGCAGCAACAACUCACCAACACCUGCUCCGACGCCAUGGACCAACAGCAGCAACUGAAGGGAAGAUGAGGAAGCUCACCGACUGCAUCUUCGUCGGCAUCAAUGCCCUCGUGCAUGUCGAUGUCAUCUUCACCAGGAUCAAUGCUCUCGUGCAUGUCGAUAUCAUCGAUAUCAUCUUCAUCGGGACCGACUCCUCCAGGUUGUUGUGUCGUGCUGGAGAUGCUGCCUGCUUCGAGCUGUUGCUGUUGCUGCCUACUUCAAGCCCUCCAGGUACUCUGCACUGCCAAUUCCAUAUUCAUCUGAGCACGAUUUCGGUCUUGUAUGCCUGCUAGAGUUCUUGUACUCAGAAACUUUGUCUUGAUUGAUACUCUGCCAUCAAUUUUUUACUGUCUACAGUACCUGUACACUGAAACUGUCUUGAUUGAUACAGUACUCUGCCAACAAACUUUGUCUGGAGUAUUUUGAGCUUUUCCUUUUCAAACUUUUACUCCAGGAGGCGAUCUGGACCAAGUGGGGAGGCUAUCUGCAGCAGUACCUGGAGCUGCAUGGGAGGGCGCGGCGAUCUGGACCUGGGGCUGCCGAUCUGAAGCAGUACCCCCUCCGGCGAGCAGAUCCUCGAUCUGAAGCAGUACUCUCUGGAGCUGGCGAGGCCUUGGGAGGGGGACAACGAUCUGCAGCAGCACCCCCUCCGACAAGGCGAGUUGGUGAGGCCCCCUCCAGCGACAGGGGGCUGGAUUGGCGCAGGCGACAGGGGGUGGCCCUGGGAGAGGGGCGGCCCUGGGAUGGGGGGCGACCCUGUCGGCAGGAAGCAAGCAGCAGCGGCGAUUGGGAUGGAGAGGAUCUGCUCGGCGAGGAAGACGACGGCAAUAGCGAUUCAAAUUAGGGGCACUUUUGUACUUUCCUCCCUUUUCACCUGGUCGGGACGUUUUCUAAAACGUCAUAUAUUUCGGAACGGAGGGAGUACUAGGGAAGUACAUAUUCAGCCCCGGUGUUGUGGCGGCUGACUAGGCAGUUAGCUCUACAAAACCAGUCAAAGCCGACCACAAAACUGAUUUGAGGCACAUAAGGUUGAAAGUUGUCCGGUUUUGAGAGUUUAGGGCUGUAAUGUAGACGGUUUUGGAGCACGUGGUUGUAGAUUAAACUAAAGCAUGAGUUGAGGGUUGAAAUA